RNAcentral lists this long non-coding RNA (207 nucleotides) under Elaeis guineensis (African oil palm). Its description in RNAcentral is "long non-coding RNA (EGUI_LNC003123)". Lineage: Eukaryota; Viridiplantae; Streptophyta; Magnoliopsida; Arecales; Arecaceae. The record is from RNAcentral.
AUUAGAUGAUUUAUAUGAAGGGGCAUAUGCAACCCAAUAUGGGGAUAAUUUUGUACCCGACGAAAAUACUCAUAACAACUCUCUUAACAGUAUGAAUUAUAUAAAUGAUGGAUAUUUUAAAAAACUCAUGAGAGAUGCGAAGGAGCCCUUGUAUUCAAAUUAUAAGAAGUUCUCUAAGCUUGAGUACUUGAUAAAGUUUCUUCACAG